GUGAGGAAUAUUGCGCAAUGGAGGCAACUCUGACGCAGCCAUGCCGCGUGCAGGAAGAAGGCGCUACGCGUUGUAAACUGCUUUUAACCGGGAAGAAACCCCAGGACGUGUCCUGGGUUGACGGUACCGGAGGAAUAAGCACCGGCUAACUUCGUGCCAGCAGCCGCGGUAAUACGAAGGGUGCAAGCGUUAUCCGGAUUCAUUGGGUUUAAAGGGUGCGUAGGCGGAGCGUUAAGUCAGUGGUGAAAUCCUGCAGCUUAACUAUAGACUUGCCAUUGAUACUGGCGCUCUUGAGUGCGCUUGAAGUGGGCGGAAUGUGCCGUGUAGCGGUGAAAUGCUUAGAUAUGGCACAGAACACCAAUUGCGAAGGCAGCUCACUAAGGCGAUACUGACGCUGAGGCACGAAAGCGUGGGGAUCGAACAGGAUUAGAAACCCUGGUAGUCC
This 445-nucleotide ribosomal RNA is filed under the name uncultured bacterium. RNAcentral describes it as "partial 16S ribosomal RNA". It matches the Rfam family "Bacterial small subunit ribosomal RNA", at positions 354 to 796 of the family's 1533-position model. The record is from RNAcentral.